UUUUAGCCCCGGUAGCAGCGAUAUCCUUUUUUCACGCUUUUUUGCGUGUAAAAAGAUAUAGCGAAUAACGGGAAUAGCU
This 79-nucleotide small RNA is filed under the name Flavobacterium urumqiense. Its description in RNAcentral is "Flavo-1 RNA". It matches the Rfam family "Flavo-1 RNA". The record is from RNAcentral. Lineage: Bacteria; Pseudomonadati; Bacteroidota; Flavobacteriia; Flavobacteriales; Flavobacteriaceae.